Molecule: long non-coding RNA, 403 nt
Filed under: Callithrix jacchus (white-tufted-ear marmoset)
Lineage: Eukaryota; Metazoa; Chordata; Mammalia; Primates; Cebidae
Description: lncRNA (ENSCJAG00000067946.2)
Source: RNAcentral
AGAGAGCAAGAAGAAAACCCAGUCCACUCUCUUUUCAUUUCAUCUGUUCUACCCUGCCAUCCCUCCCUCUGCUAGGUCAGCUUUCAGCAGGAUUAUGAGAUCAUGAUUCACCAAGGAUACAAUAAAAAUUAAUGUGAGCCUGUUGGAAUGAAGGCUAAAACAGAGGAAGUAGUAGAGCAAUAGAUGUGUACCUGUACCUGAGGUGGACAGCCUGUAUAAUCAAAGAACUGGACCAACAGAAUGAGGCGCUAGGCCACAUGAAGCUAAGGUAGUCAUCCAAUUCUAAGACUCGAAACAAGAAGCAGAAGUCACUUAUAUGCACACAGCCUUCCAUUCUGCAUGAGAAAAUAAACACCAAACCAUCAGCAACUGGUACACUCCUUUGUUGGUGGCAGAAAGAUUA